RNAcentral lists this ribosomal RNA (700 nucleotides) under uncultured bacterium. RNAcentral describes it as "bacterial SSU rRNA". It matches the Rfam family "Bacterial small subunit ribosomal RNA", at positions 134 to 851 of the family's 1533-position model. The record is from RNAcentral.
UACAGGGGGAUAACACUUAGAAAUAGGUGCUAAUACCGCAUAAGCGCACGGUUCCGCAUGGAACAGUGUGAAAAACUCCGGUGGUAUACGAUGGAUCCGCGUCUGAUUAGCCAGUUGGCGGGGUAACGGCCCACCAAAGCGACGAUCAGUAGCCGGCCUGAGAGGGUGAACGGCCACAUUGGGACUGAGACACGGCCCAAACUCCUACGGGAGGCAGCAGUGGGGAAUAUUGCACAAUGGGGGAAACCCUGACGCAGCGACGCCGCGUGAGUGAAGAAGUAUCUCGGUACGUAAAGCCCUAUCAGCAGGGAAGAAAAUGACGGUACCUGACUAAGAAGCCCCGGCUAACUACGUGCCAGCAGCCGCGGUAAUACGUAGGGGGCAAGCGUUAUCCGGAUUUACUGGGUGUAAAGGGAGCGUAGACGGCAGCGCAAGUCUGGAGUGAAAUGCCGGGGCCCAACCCCGGAACUGCUUUGGAAACUGUGCAGCUCGAGUGCAGGAGAGGUAAGCGGAAUUCCUAGUGUAGCGGUGAAAUGCGUAGAUAUUAGGAGGAACACCAGUGGCGAAGGCGGCUUACUGGACUGUAACUGACGUUGGGGCUCGAAAGCGUGGGGAGCAAACAGGAUUAGAUACCCUGGUAGUCCACGCCGUAAACGAUGAUUACUAGGUGUCGGGGGGCCAAGGCCCUCCGGUGCCGCCG